GCGUAACGCGUACACAACGUACCCAAGGGAGGAGGAAAGCGGCGGGGAAACUGCCGGUAAUACUCCAUGGUGUUGAAGGAUGGCAUCAUUUUUCAACUAAAGUACCAGCGCCCUUGGAUCGGUGUGCGUUCGAUUAGCUAGUUGGCGGGGUAACGGCCCACCAAGGCUCCGAUCGAUAGGGGGUGUGAGAGCAUGGCCCCCCACACGGGGUACUGAGACACGGACCCGACUCCUACGGGAGGCAGCAGUAAGGAAUAUUGGACAAUGGGCGCAAGCCUGAUCCAGCCAUGCCGCGUGAAGGACGAAGGCGCUCAGCGUUGUAAACUUCUUUUGGAUGGGAACAAUAAUCGAGACUUGUCUUGACUUGAGGGUACCAUCAGAAUAAGCACCGGCUAACUCCGUGCCAGCAGCCGCGGUAAUACGGAGGGUGCAAGCGUUAUCCGGAAUCACUGGGUUUAAAGGGUGCGUAGGCGGUCUAAUAAGUCAGUCGUGAAAUCGCUGGGCUCGAACCCAUGCAAUUGCG
This 523-nucleotide ribosomal RNA is filed under the name uncultured bacterium. RNAcentral describes it as "bacterial SSU rRNA". It matches the Rfam family "Bacterial small subunit ribosomal RNA", at positions 108 to 625 of the family's 1533-position model. The record is from RNAcentral.